CCUACGGAGUGCAGCAGUGAGGAAUAUUGGUCAAUGGGCGGAAGCCUGAACCAGCCAAGUAGCGUGCAGGAUGACGGCCCUACGGGUUGUAAACUGCUUUUAUACGGGAAUAACGCGCCUUACGUGUAGGGCUUUGCAUGUACCGUAUGAAUAAGGACCGGCUAAUUCCGUGCCAGCAGCCGCGGUAAUACGGAAGGUCCGGGCGUUAUCCGGAUUUAUUGGGUUUAAAGGGAGCGUAGGCCGCAUGUCAAGCGUGCUGUGAAAUGUCCGGGCUCAACCCGGGCCUUGCAGCGCGAACUGGCGUGCUUGAGUCCGCGGAAAGCAGGCGGAAUUCGUCGUGUAGCGGUGAAAUGCUUAGAUAUGACGAAGAACCCCGAUUGCGAAGGCAGCUUGCUGCAGCGGAACUGACGCUGAUGCUCGAAAGCGCGGGUAUCGAACAGGAUUAGAUACCCUUGUAGUC
RNAcentral lists this ribosomal RNA (460 nucleotides) under uncultured bacterium. RNAcentral describes it as "partial 16S ribosomal RNA". It matches the Rfam family "Bacterial small subunit ribosomal RNA", at positions 338 to 795 of the family's 1533-position model. The record is from RNAcentral.